This 494-nucleotide ribosomal RNA is filed under the name uncultured bacterium. RNAcentral describes it as "bacterial SSU rRNA". It matches the Rfam family "Bacterial small subunit ribosomal RNA", at positions 29 to 512 of the family's 1533-position model. The record is from RNAcentral.
AGUGAACGCUGGCGGCAGGCCUAAUACAUGCAAGUCGAACGGCAGCACAGCAGAGCUUGCUCUGUGGGUGGCGAGUGGCGGACGGGUGAGGAAUACAUGGGAAUCUGCCCAGUCGUGGGGGAUAACGUAUGGAAACGUACGCUAAUACCGCAUGCGCCCUACGGGGGAAAGUCGGGGACCGCAAGGCCUGACGCGAUUGGAUGAGCCCAUGUUCGAUUAGCUAGUUGGCGGGGUAAAGGCCCACCAAGGCGACGAUCGAUAGCUGGUCUGAGAGGAUGAUCAGCCACACUGGAACUGAGACACGGUCCAGACUCCUACGGGAGGCAGCAGUAGGGAAUAUUGGACAAUGGGGGCAACCCUGAUCCAGCCAUGCCGCGUGAGUGAAGAAGGCCCUCGGGUUGUAAAGCUCUUUUGUCCGGAAAGAAAAGCAAUCGGUUAAUACCCGGUUGUCUGACGGUACCGGAAGAAUAAGCACCGGCUAACUUCGUGCCAGC